This 433-nucleotide ribosomal RNA is filed under the name uncultured bacterium. Its description in RNAcentral is "partial 16S ribosomal RNA". It matches the Rfam family "Bacterial small subunit ribosomal RNA", at positions 29 to 507 of the family's 1533-position model. The record is from RNAcentral.
AACGAACGCUGGCGGCAUGCCUAACACAUGCAAGUCGAACGAGAACUUCGGGUCUAGUGGCGCACGGGUGCGUAACGCGUGGGAACCUGCCCUUAGGUUCGGAAUAACUCCCCGAAAGGGGUGCUAAUACCGGUUAAUGUCUUCGGACCAAAGAUUUAUCGCCUUUGGAUGGGCCCGCGUUGGAUUCGCUAGUUGGUAGGGUAAAAGCCUACCAAGGCGACGAUGCAUAGCUGGUCUGUGAGGAUGAUCAGCCACACUGGGACUGAGACACGGACCAGACUCCUACGCGAGGCAGCAGUGGGGAAUAUUGGACGAGGGGCGAAAGCCUGAUCCAGCAACGCCGCGUGAGUGAUGAAGGCCUUAGGGUUGUAAAGCUCUUUUACCCGGGAUGAUAAUGACAGUACCGGGUGAAUAAGCACCGGCUAACUCCGUG